ACCGUACUCCUACGGGAGGCAGCAGUGGGGAAUAUUGCGCAAUGGGCGAAAGCCUGAUGCAGCAACGCCGCGUGAGGGAUGACGGCCUUCGGGUUGUAAACCUCUUUUAGUAGGGAAGAAGCGAAAGUGACGGUACCUGCAGAAAAAGCACCGGCUAACUACGUGCCAGCAGCCGCGGUAAUACGUAGGGUGCAAGCGUUGUCCGGAAUUAUUGGGCGUAAAGAGCUCGUAGGCGGUUUGUCGCGUCUGCUGUGAAAUCCCGAGGCUCAACCUCGGGUCUGCAGUGGGUACGGGCAGACUAGAGUGUGGUAGGGGAGAUUGGAAUUCCUGGUGUAGCGGUGGAAUGCGCAGAUAUCAGGAGGAACACCAAUGGCGAAGGCAGAUCUCUGGGCCAUUACUGACGCUGAGGAGCGAAAGCAUGGGGAGCGAACAGGAUUAGAAACCCGAGUAGUCCUUGAC
Molecule: ribosomal RNA, 459 nt
Filed under: uncultured bacterium
Lineage: Bacteria
Description: bacterial SSU rRNA
Rfam family: Bacterial small subunit ribosomal RNA
Source: RNAcentral